RNAcentral lists this ribosomal RNA (253 nucleotides) under uncultured bacterium. RNAcentral's name for it is "partial 16S ribosomal RNA". It matches the Rfam family "Bacterial small subunit ribosomal RNA", at positions 524 to 776 of the family's 1533-position model. The record is from RNAcentral.
UACAGAGGGGGCAAGCGUUGUUCGGAAUUAUUGGGCGUAAAGGGCGCGUAGGCGGCCUGGCAAGUGGAAGGUGAAAUCCCUCGGCUUAACCGAGGAACUGCCCUCCAAACUGCUUGGCUUGAGUCCGGGAGAGGUGAGUGGAAUUCCCAGUGUAGCGGUGAAAUGCGUAGAUAUUGGGAAGAACACCAGUGGCGUAGGCGACUAACUGGGCCAUAACUGACGCUGAGGAACGAAAGCCAGGGGAGCGAAUGGG